UACGUAGGCAGCAAGCGUUGUUCGGAGUUAUUGGGCGUAAAGAGCUCGUAGGCGGUCUGUUGCGUCCGCUGUGAAAACUCGGGGCUUAACCCCGAGCCUGCAGUGGAUACGGGCAGACUAGAGGUAGGUAGGGGAGAAUGGAAUUCCCGGUGUAGCGGUGAAAUGCGCAGAUAUCGGGAGGAACACCGGUGGCGAAGGCGGUUCUCUGGGCCUGUACUGACGCUGAGGAGCGAAAGCGUGGGGAGCGAACAGG
This 253-nucleotide ribosomal RNA is filed under the name uncultured bacterium. RNAcentral describes it as "partial 16S ribosomal RNA". It matches the Rfam family "Bacterial small subunit ribosomal RNA", at positions 524 to 776 of the family's 1533-position model. The record is from RNAcentral.